CCUACGGGAGGCAGCAGUGGGGAAUAUUGGACAAUGGGGGGAACCCUGAUCCAGCGACGCCGCGUGAGUGAAGAAGUAUUUCGGUAUGUAAAGCUCUAUCAGCAGGGAAGAAAAUGACGGUACCUGACUAAGAAGCCCCGGCUAACUACGUGCCAGCAGCCGCGGUAAUACGUAGGGGGCAAGCGUUAUCCGGAUUUACUGGGGGUAAAGGGAGCGUAGACGGUGCAGCAAGUCUGAUGUGAAAGGUCGGGGCCCAACCGCGGGACUGCAUUGGAAACUGUUGAACUGGAGUACAGUAGAGGUAGGCGGAAUUCGUGGUGUAGCGGUGAAAUGCUUAGAUAUUAGGAAGAACCCCAGUGGAGAAGGCAGCUUACUAGACUGUGACUGACAUUGAGGCUCGAAAGCGUGGGGAGCAAACAGGAUUAGAUACCCCUGUAGUC
RNAcentral lists this ribosomal RNA (440 nucleotides) under uncultured bacterium. RNAcentral's name for it is "partial 16S ribosomal RNA". It matches the Rfam family "Bacterial small subunit ribosomal RNA", at positions 338 to 795 of the family's 1533-position model. The record is from RNAcentral.